CGGGAAGUGGGCAAGUGGUAUGCCGCCAGGUUCGGGACUUGGAUACCGGGGGUUCAAAUCCCCCCUUCCCGA
Molecule: transfer RNA, 72 nt
Filed under: Treponema sp.
Lineage: Bacteria; Pseudomonadati; Spirochaetota; Spirochaetia; Treponematales; Treponemataceae
Description: tRNA-Pro
Rfam family: tRNA
About the family: Transfer RNA (tRNA) molecules are approximately 80 nucleotides in length. Their secondary structure includes four short double-helical elements and three loops (D, anti-codon, and T loops).
Source: RNAcentral